This 514-nucleotide RNase P RNA is filed under the name Helcococcus ovis. Its description in RNAcentral is "RNase P RNA component class A". It matches the Rfam family "Bacterial RNase P class A". From Rfam's summary of the family: Ribonuclease P (RNase P) is a ubiquitous endoribonuclease, found in archaea, bacteria and eukarya as well as chloroplasts and mitochondria. Its best characterised activity is the generation of mature 5'-ends of tRNAs by cleaving the 5'-leader elements of precursor-tRNAs. The record is from RNAcentral. Lineage: Bacteria; Bacillati; Bacillota; Tissierellia; Tissierellales; Peptoniphilaceae.
CGAGUAUGUUAGAUAAUCGCUGGUAAUUUUUAUUACGAGAGGAAAGUCCGUGCACCACACAGCAGAAUGCCAGAUAACGUCUGGUGGAGGCGACUCUAAGGAUAGUGCAACAGAGAUAUACCGCUGAACCCCUAACUUAUGCGCUCAACUAUUUCAUGGUAUAAAAUACCAUGAAAUAGUUGAAGUAUAAAGUAGGUGUCAUGCCAAGAAUCUCUAAGAGAAGCGACCGAAAAGGAAGCUUCGAUUAGUAAGAUUCGACGGCGGAAUCCUAAGUAUUUCAAAACUUGAGCACAUAAGUUAGGGGUUCAGUAAGGGUGGAAAGGCGAGGUAAGAGCUCACCAGCAUAUGGGUAACUAUGUGGCUAUGUAAACCCCAUUCGGUGCAAGAUCAGAAUAGGAUACAAACCUAGUAGCUGGCUAGGUCCGGUAGGUAGAUUGCUUGAAUGUAUAGGUGACUAUACAUCUAGAUAGAUGAUUAUCAAAUACAGAACACGGCUUAUAAAUAUGCUCGCAUA